This 2803-nucleotide ribosomal RNA is filed under the name Escherichia coli. RNAcentral describes it as "partial 23S ribosomal RNA". It matches the Rfam family "Bacterial large subunit ribosomal RNA". The record is from RNAcentral. Lineage: Bacteria; Pseudomonadati; Pseudomonadota; Gammaproteobacteria; Enterobacterales; Enterobacteriaceae.
GGGUUGUGAGGUUAAGCGACUAAGCGUACACGGUGGAUGCCCUGGCAGUCAGAGGCGAUGAAGGACGUGCUAAUCUGCGAUAAGCGUCGGUGAGGUGAUAUGAACCGUUAUAACCGGCGAUUUCCGAAUGGGGAAACCCAGUGUGUUUCGACACACUAUCAUUAACUGAAUCCAUAGGUUAAUGAGGCGAACCGGGGGAACUGAAACAUCUAAGUACCCCGAGGAAAAGAAAUCAACCGAGAUUCCCCCAGUAGCGGCGAGCGAACGGGGAGGAGCCCAGAGCCUGAAUCAGUGUGUGUGUUAGUGGAAGCGUCUGGAAAGGCGUGCGAUACAGGGUGACAGCCCCGUACACAAAAAUGCACAUAUUGUGAGCUCGAUGAGUAGGGCGGGACACGUGGUAUCCUGUCUGAAUAUGGGGGGACCAUCCUCCAAGGCUAAAUACUCCUGACUGACCGAUAGUGAACCAGUACCGUGAGGGAAAGGCGAAAAGAACCCCGGCGAGGGGAGUGAAAAAGAACCUGAAACCGUGUACGUACAAGCAGUGGGAGCCUCUUAAUGGGGUGACUGCGUACCUUUUGUAUAAUGGGUCAGCGACUUAUAUUCUGUAGCAAGGUUAACCGAAUAGGGGAGCCGAAGGGAAACCGAGUCUUAACUGGGCGUUAAGUUGCAGGGUAUAGACCCGAAACCCGGUGAUCUAGCCAUGGGCAGGUUGAAGGUUGGGUAACACUAACUGGAGGACCGAACCGACUAAUGUUGAAAAAUUAGCGGAUGACUUGUGGCUGGGGGUGAAAGGCCAAUCAAACCGGGAGAUAGCUGGUUCUCCCCGAAAGCUAUUUAGGUAGCGCCUCGUGAAUUCAUCUCCGGGGGUAGAGCACUGUUUCGGCAAGGGGGUCAUCCCGACUUACCAACCCGAUGCAAACUGCGAAUACCGGAGAAUGUUAUCACGGGAGACACACGGCGGGUGCUAACGUCCGUCGUGAAGAGGGAAACAACCCAGACCGCCAGCUAAGGUCCCAAAGUCAUGGUUAAGUGGGAAACGAUGUGGGAAGGCCCAGACAGCCAGGAUGUUGGCUUAGAAGCAGCCAUCAUUUAAAGAAAGCGUAAUAGCUCACUGGUCGAGUCGGCCUGCGCGGAAGAUGUAACGGGGCUAAACCAUGCACCGAAGCUGCGGCAGCGACACUAUGUGUUGUUGGGUAGGGGAGCGUUCUGUAAGCCUGUGAAGGUGGCCUGUGAGGGUUGCUGGAGGUAUCAGAAGUGCGAAUGCUGACAUAAGUAACGAUAAAGCGGGUGAAAAGCCCGCUCGCCGGAAGACCAAGGGUUCCUGUCCAACGUUAAUCGGGGCAGGGUGAGUCGACCCCUAAGGCGAGGCCGAAAGGCGUAGUCGAUGGGAAACAGGUUAAUAUUCCUGUACUUGGUGUUACUGCGAAGGGGGGACGGAGAAGGCUAUGUUGGCCGGGCGACGGUUGUCCCGGUUUAAGCGUGUAGGCUGGUUUUCCAGGCAAAUCCGGAAAACCAAGGCUGAGGCGUGAUGACGAGGCACUACGGUGCUGAAGUGACAAAUGCCCUGCUUCCAGGAAAAGCCUCUAAGCAUCAGGUAACAUCAAAUCGUACCCCAAACCGACACAGGUGGUCAGGUAGAGAAUACCAAGGCGCUUGAGAGAACUCGGGUGAAGGAACUAGGCAAAAUGGUGCCGUAACUUCGGGAGAAGGCACGCUGAUAUGUAGGUGAAGCGACUUGCUCGUGGAGCUGAAAUCAGUCGAAGAUACCAGCUGGCUGCAACUGUUUAUUAAAAACACAGCACUGUGCAAACACGAAAGUGGACGUAUACGGUGUGACGCCUGCCCGGUGCCGGAAGGUUAAUUGAUGGGGUUAGCGGUAACGCGAAGCUCUUGAUCGAAGCCCCGGUAAACGGCGGCCGUAACUAUAACGGUCCUAAGGUAGCGAAAUUCCUUGUCGGGUAAGUUCCGACCUGCACGAAUGGCGUAAUGAUGGCCAGGCUGUCUCCACCCGAGACUCAGUGAAAUUGAACUCGCUGUGAAGAUGCAGUGUACCCGCGGCAAGACGGAAAGACCCCGUGAACCUUUACUAUAGCUUGACACUGAACAUUGAGCCUUGAUGUGUAGGAUAGGUGGGAGGCUUUGAAGUGUGGACGCCAGUCUGCAUGGAGCCGACCUUGAAAUACCACCCUUUAAUGUUUGAUGUUCUAACGUUGGCCCGUAAUCCGGGUUGCGGACAGUGUCUGGUGGGUAGUUUGACUGGGGCGGUCUCCUCCUAAAGAGUAACGGAGGAGCACGAAGGUUGGCUAAUCCUGGUCGGACAUCAGGAGGUUAGUGCAAUGGCAUAAGCCAGCUUGACUGCGAGCGUGACGGCGCGAGCAGGUGCGAAAGCAGGUCAUAGUGAUCCGGUGGUUCUGAAUGGAAGGGCCAUCGCUCAACGGAUAAAAGGUACUCCGGGGAUAACAGGCUGAUACCGCCCAAGAGUUCAUAUCGACGGCGGUGUUUGGCACCUCGAUGUCGGCUCAUCACAUCCUGGGGCUGAAGUAGGUCCCAAGGGUAUGGCUGUUCGCCAUUUAAAGUGGUACGCGAGCUGGGUUUAGAACGUCGUGAGACAGUUCGGUCCCUAUCUGCCGUGGGCGCUGGAGAACUGAGGGGGGCUGCUCCUAGUACGAGAGGACCGGAGUGGACGCAUCACUGGUGUUCGGGUUGUCAUGCCAAUGGCACUGCCCGGUAGCUAAAUGCGGAAGAGAUAAGUGCUGAAAGCAUCUAAGCACGAAACUUGCCCCGAGAUGAGUUCUCCCUGACU